UACGGGGGGGGCAAGCGUUGUUCGGAAUUACUGGGCGUAAAGGGCUCGUAGGCGGCCAACUAAGUCAGACGUGAAAUCCCUCGGCUUAACCGGGGAACUGCGUCUGAUACUGGUUGGCUUGAAUCCGGGAGAGGGAUGUGGAAUUCCAGGUGUAGCGGUGAAAUGCGUAGAUAUCUGGGGGAACACCGGUGGCGAAGGCGGCAUCCUGGACCGGUAUUGACGCUGAGGAGCGAAAGCCAGGGGAGCAAACGGG
Molecule: ribosomal RNA, 253 nt
Filed under: uncultured bacterium
Lineage: Bacteria
Description: partial 16S ribosomal RNA
Rfam family: Bacterial small subunit ribosomal RNA
Source: RNAcentral